UGGUAACUGGAGGAAAAAACAGACAGAAUUGAGGAGGACAAAUUUUACUUUCGCUAUGAUAAAACCGCCAACGCCAAACGCGAUAGCUGAGUCAACUAAUCGUCUCCAAAGAAAGCGUUAUUCCACAACGGAGCAGUUAGCUCUAUGACCCUAUGUGUCGAGGUCUCCAAAAAAGCAUUAACGCAUAAUGUUUCUGGACGUCUGGUUUUUUGCUUAGGUAUACCGUCUCAAAGUGCAAAGGGUACUAGCCAGAAGCUCUGGGAAGGCUCAACUUUCAUGGCUCGUAAUGGCGAGAAGGAGUCGAAUUGCUUUGAGAUACUUAAAGUAAGCGAUCUGCGAUCUCAUGGCCAACAUCUCUAUCGCGCUCUUUUAAAGACGGAUUAGCGAAAAGCGUCGCAUAGCAUUGACUUACUAGGAAGGCAAUAGGAUGCGGACACGGCUACUGGUGAAUCUUUCGAAAGCUAGACUAGACUAUUGUUGAGCGUCCUACCGCACGCCCGACAGCGACAGUCGUACCUCCAUAUACGUACAGAUUGUUAUACUGACGUAGUGCGUUGUCAUUGUUCCUGUCAAUGUCGACGUUGUUACCCAUCAGCAUUGGGACGUAGACAAGGAACAGAUACUUGGCAAUGCAUAACAGCUGUGCUACAAAUGCGAUGAAAAUCUAUUUUUCGUAAGCCCACAGCGAAGUUAUCCACGACCAUUUACAAGUCUACUGCUAUUAAGUGGGUAUACGUACCUGCCCCACGUCAGCGCUGUUGUUAAUAGAUG
This is a long non-coding RNA of Varroa destructor (honeybee mite), 771 nucleotides long. Lineage: Eukaryota; Metazoa; Arthropoda; Arachnida; Mesostigmata; Varroidae. The record is from RefSeq and is a predicted model, not a curated record.